Non-coding RNA from Vicugna pacos (alpaca), 535 nucleotides. The record is from RefSeq and is a predicted model, not a curated record. NCBI's taxonomy places the organism in Eukaryota, Metazoa, Chordata, Mammalia, Artiodactyla, Camelidae.
GGCCUCGGUAAGCGGUUCCCUGAACUUGGCGCCCAGGGGGAACUUAAGGUCGGAGGUCUCUCCCGGACCUGGGCAGGUCCUGGCGCCCAGGAGCCCACUCAUUGUGCUCUCGGCCACCUCCAACUCCGCCCAGUCUUAAAUAGCCCUCCGCGCGCUGGCCCCGAGUCCCGCCUCCCAGAAGCAGGGUCCAAUCCUGUCCUGGAGGGCGCCCUCUCUUGGGGACCUUCUGCAGUCAGGAGACAGCUGCAUCUUGGGGAGGGGAUGUCUCUUAUGUUAGGCGUUUCCUCAGACAUCCUUGGCAGGACCGCUUGCUCUGGAGCCUGUGGGGGAUGGCUGUGAAAAGGUGUAGGAGCCAGAGAAAUAGGCCAGAAGACAAGCGCACCCCGACACCCACUGUUUGCCACUCCUGUCUUUUGAAUCCCACCUCCUCACUCCCAGUUCCUUUCCACAUCUGCACUUUGGGGAGAGACUCCUCUAGGGUUACUGGUCACUCUGAGGGCUGCUGCAUUGGCCUCAGCAAUAAAGUUAAGCUGGG